This 317-nucleotide RNase P RNA is filed under the name Candidatus Omnitrophota bacterium. Its description in RNAcentral is "Candidatus Omnitrophica bacterium RNase P RNA component class A". It matches the Rfam family "Bacterial RNase P class A". From Rfam's summary of the family: Ribonuclease P (RNase P) is a ubiquitous endoribonuclease, found in archaea, bacteria and eukarya as well as chloroplasts and mitochondria. Its best characterised activity is the generation of mature 5'-ends of tRNAs by cleaving the 5'-leader elements of precursor-tRNAs. The record is from RNAcentral. Lineage: Bacteria; Pseudomonadati; Candidatus Omnitrophota.
CAGGGAGGAGAGGUGGUCGCAGUCUGAGGUUUUCUCAGACUGAGGAAAGUCCAGGCUCCAAUGGGCAGGGUGCUGGACGCAAGUCCAGCGGGAGCAAUCCCGGGAAAGUGCCACAGAAACUACACCGCCAGAUUAAAUCUGGUAAGGGUGAAAAGGUGCGGUAAGAGCGCACCAGGGAUCAGGUGACUGAUCCGCUGGGCAAACCCCACCCGGAGCAAGGCCAAAUAGGAGGGCUCAGAGCCCGGUAGCCCUCGGGUAGGCCGCUUAGAUAGAUGACCACCGUUAGCACAGAACCUGGCUUAUCUCCUCCCUGCCUC